GUGCCAGCAGCCGCGGUAAUACGUAGGUGGCAAGCGUUGUCCGGAUUUAUUGGGCGUAAAGCGCGCGCAGGCGGUCUCUUAAGUCUGAUGUGAAAGCCCACGGCUCAACCGUGGAGGGUCAUUGGAAACUGGGGGACUUGAGUGCAGAAGAGGAAAGCGGAAUUCCACGUGUAGCGGUGAAAUGCGUAGAGAUGUGGAGGAACACCAGUGGCGAAGGCGGCUUUCUGGUCUGUAACUGACGCUGAGGCGCGAAAGCGUGGGGAGCAAACAGGAUUAGAUACCCUGGUAGUCC
Molecule: ribosomal RNA, 292 nt
Filed under: uncultured microorganism
Description: partial 16S ribosomal RNA
Rfam family: Bacterial small subunit ribosomal RNA
Source: RNAcentral